UACGGGAGGCAGCAGUGGGGAAUAUUGCACAAAUGGGCGANAGNCUGAUGCAGCGACGCCGCGUGAACGAAGAAGNAUUUCGGNAUGUAAAGUUCUGUCNGUCAGGGAAGAAAAAUGACGGCUACCUGACUAAGAAGCAUCCGGNUAANUACUAUGCCANCAGCCGCGGNAAUAAUAGGCGGAAUUC
Molecule: ribosomal RNA, 187 nt
Filed under: uncultured rumen bacterium
Lineage: Bacteria
Description: partial 16S ribosomal RNA
Rfam family: Bacterial small subunit ribosomal RNA
Source: RNAcentral